Molecule: ribosomal RNA, 2688 nt
Filed under: Staphylococcus aureus VET0679S
Lineage: Bacteria; Bacillati; Bacillota; Bacilli; Caryophanales; Staphylococcaceae
Description: bacterial LSU rRNA
Rfam family: Bacterial large subunit ribosomal RNA
Source: RNAcentral
UUAAGUUAUUAAGGGCGCACGGUGGAUGCCUUGGCACUAGAAGCCGAUGAAGGACGUUACUAACGACGAUAUGCUUUGGGGAGCUGUAAGUAAGCUUUGAUCCAGAGAUUUCCGAAUGGGGAAACCCAGCAUGAGUUAUGUCAUGUUAUCGAUAUGUGAAUACAUAGCAUAUCAGAAGGCACACCCGGAGAACUGAAACAUCUUAGUACCCGGAGGAAGAGAAAGAAAAUUCGAUUCCCUUAGUAGCGGCGAGCGAAACGGGAAGAGCCCAAACCAACAAGCUUGCUUGUUGGGGUUGUAGGACACUCUAUACGGAGUUACAAAGGACGACAUUAGACGAAUCAUCUGGAAAGAUGAAUCAAAGAAGGUAAUAAUCCUGUAGUCGAAAAUGUUGUCUCUCUUGAGUGGAUCCUGAGUACGACGGAGCACGUGAAAUUCCGUCGGAAUCUGGGAGGACCAUCUCCUAAGGCUAAAUACUCUCUAGUGACCGAUAGUGAACCAGUACCGUGAGGGAAAGGUGAAAAGCACCCCGGAAGGGGAGUGAAAUAGAACCUGAAACCGUGUGCUUACAAGUAGUCAGAGCCCGUUAAUGGGUGAUGGCGUGCCUUUUGUAGAAUGAACCGGCGAGUUACGAUUUGAUGCAAGGUUAAGCAGUAAAUGUGGAGCCGUAGCGAAAGCGAGUCUGAAUAGGGCGUUUAGUAUUUGGUCGUAGACCCGAAACCAGGUGAUCUACCCUUGGUCAGGUUGAAGUUCAGGUAACACUGAAUGGAGGACCGAACCGACUUACGUUGAAAAGUGAGCGGAUGAACUGAGGGUAGCGGAGAAAUUCCAAUCGAACCUGGAGAUAGCUGGUUCUCUCCGAAAUAGCUUUAGGGCUAGCCUCAAGUGAUGAUUAUUGGAGGUAGAGCACUGUUUGGACGAGGGGCCCCUCUCGGGUUACCGAAUUCAGACAAACUCCGAAUGCCAAUUAAUUUAACUUGGGAGUCAGAACAUGGGUGAUAAGGUCCGUGUUCGAAAGGGAAACAGCCCAGACCACCAGCUAAGGUCCCAAAAUAUAUGUUAAGUGGAAAAGGAUGUGGCGUUGCCCAGACAACUAGGAUGUUGGCUUAGAAGCAGCCAUCAUUUAAAGAGUGCGUAAUAGCUCACUAGUCGAGUGACACUGCGCCGAAAAUGUACCGGGGCUAAACAUAUUACCGAAGCUGUGGAUUGUCCUUUGGACAAUGGUAGGAGAGCGUUCUAAGGGCGUUGAAGCAUGAUCGUAAGGACAUGUGGAGCGCUUAGAAGUGAGAAUGCCGGUGUGAGUAGCGAAAGACGGGUGAGAAUCCCGUCCACCGAUUGACUAAGGUUUCCAGAGGAAGGCUCGUCCGCUCUGGGUUAGUCGGGUCCUAAGCUGAGGCCGACAGGCGUAGGCGAUGGAUAACAGGUUGAUAUUCCUGUACCACCUAUAAUCGUUUUAAUCGAUGGGGGGACGCAGUAGGAUAGGCGAAGCGUGCGAUUGGAUUGCACGUCUAAGCAGUAAGGCUGAGUAUUAGGCAAAUCCGGUACUCGUUAAGGCUGAGCUGUGAUGGGGAGAAGACAUUGAGUCUUCGAGUCGUUGAUUUCACACUGCCGAGAAAAGCCUCUAGAUAGAAAAUAGGUGCCCGUACCGCAAACCGACACAGGUAGUCAAGAUGAGAAUUCUAAGGUGAGCGAGCGAACUCUCGUUAAGGAACUCGGCAAAAUGACCCCGUAACUUCGGGAGAAGGGGUGCUCUUUAGGGUUAACGCCCAGAAGAGCCGCAGUGAAUAGGCCCAAGCGACUGUUUAUCAAAAACACAGGUCUCUGCUAAACCGUAAGGUGAUGUAUAGGGGCUGACGCCUGCCCGGUGCUGGAAGGUUAAGAGGAGUGGUUAGCUUCUGCGAAGCUACGAAUCGAAGCCCCAGUAAACGGCGGCCGUAACUAUAACGGUCCUAAGGUAGCGAAAUUCCUUGUCGGGUAAGUUCCGACCCGCACGAAAGGCGUAACGAUUUGGGCACUGUCUCAACGAGAGACUCGGUGAAAUCAUAGUACCUGUGAAGAUGCAGGUUACCCGCGACAGGACGGAAAGACCCCGUGGAGCUUUACUGUAGCCUGAUAUUGAAAUUCGGCACAGCUUGUACAGGAUAGGUAGGAGCCUUUGAAACGUGAGCGCUAGCUUACGUGGAGGCGCUGGUGGGAUACUACCCUAGCUGUGUUGGCUUUCUAACCCGCACCACUUAUCGUGGUGGGAGACAGUGUCAGGCGGGCAGUUUGACUGGGGCGGUCGCCUCCUAAAAGGUAACGGAGGCGCUCAAAGGUUCCCUCAGAAUGGUUGGAAAUCAUUCAUAGAGUGUAAAGGCAUAAGGGAGCUUGACUGCGAGACCUACAAGUCGAGCAGGGUCGAAAGACGGACUUAGUGAUCCGGUGGUUCCGCAUGGAAGGGCCAUCGCUCAACGGAUAAAAGCUACCCCGGGGAUAACAGGCUUAUCUCCCCCAAGAGUUCACAUCGACGGGGAGGUUUGGCACCUCGAUGUCGGCUCAUCGCAUCCUGGGGCUGUAGUCGGUCCCAAGGGUUGGGCUGUUCGCCCAUUAAAGCGGUACGCGAGCUGGGUUCAGAACGUCGUGAGACAGUUCGGUCCCUAUCCGUCGUGGGCGUAGGAAAUUUGAGAGGAGCUGUCCUUAGUACGAGAG